AGACUUCCAAAGCAGAGCUACGUUAUUUCUCGCCAGUUUUCUAGCACAGGAGGGAAAGCUCAAGUCCCCCUGGACCUGCCUGUUUAGAUACAAUGUGAGUAAAAAGAACUGAUAUCCAGAUGUUCACUUGGUGAAAGCACUGAAUCAGAAGCUCUGGAGAGCAAAGCCUUCCUGAACAUUACCAGUGGCAGCAACCAGAUACUUGGAGCAAACAUGACUUCAGCUGGAGUUGCAGAUGGCCAGGACUUAAACAACAAAAUGAAAACAAAAACACCAAAACCAAGCAAAUAAACCUAUCACAUCUCAAGUUCAGGUCCUAAAAAUUAAGGACAUAAUCCAGGAAAAUGAUAUUCUACAUUUCAUAAAGUCUGGGAAAAUAAAAGUCAUCUUCAUCUUUCUUCUCUA
Dromaius novaehollandiae (emu) is the source of this 405-nucleotide long non-coding RNA. RefSeq lists it as uncharacterized. The transcript is spliced from 3 exons. NCBI's taxonomy places the organism in Eukaryota, Metazoa, Chordata, Aves, Casuariiformes, Dromaiidae. The record is from RefSeq and is a predicted model, not a curated record.